AUCCCAUGGUGAGGGCAUUUACGCAACAAUAUCUUAAACCUCUCCAUUGCCUCGUACAAAGAUUCCCUUUCAUGUUGCUGAAAUCCGGUGAUGUCAUUUCUAAGCUU
RNAcentral lists this small nucleolar RNA (107 nucleotides) under Morus notabilis. Its description in RNAcentral is "Plant small nucleolar RNA R71". It matches the Rfam family "Plant small nucleolar RNA R71". From Rfam's summary of the family: R71 is a member of the C/D box family of snoRNAs containing the C (UGAUGA) and D (CUGA) box motifs. Multiple nearly identical copies of this snoRNA have been identified in Arabidopsis, and it is thought to function as a 2'-O-ribose methylation guide for 18S ribosomal RNA. Lineage: Eukaryota; Viridiplantae; Streptophyta; Magnoliopsida; Rosales; Moraceae. The record is from Rfam by way of RNAcentral.